AAAGCGUGCGCAGGCGGUUAUGCAAGACAGAGGUGAAUCCCCGGGCUCAACCUGGGAACUGCCUUUAUGACUGCAUGGCUAGAGUACGGUAGAGGGGGAUGGAAUUCCGCGUGUAGCAGUGAAAUGCGUAGAUAUGCGGAGGAACACCGAUGGCGAAGGCAAUCCCCUGGACCUGUACUGACGCUCAUGCACGAAAGCGUGGGGAGCAAACAGGAUUAGAUACCCUGGUAGUCCACGCCCUAAACGAUGUCAACUGGUUGUUGGGAGGGUUUCUUCUCAGUAACGUAGCUAACGCGUGAAGUUGACCGCCUGGGGAGUACGGUCGCAAGGUUGAGACUCAAAGGAAUUGACGGGGACCCGCACAAGCGGUGGAUGAUGUGGUUCAAUUCGAUGCAACGCGAAAAACCUUACCUACCCUUGACAUGUCUGGAAUCCUGAAGAGAUUUGGGAGUGCUCGAAAGAGAGCCAGAACACAGGUGCUGCAUGGCCGUCGUCAGCUCGUGUCGUGAGAUGUUGGGUUAAGUCCCGCAACGAGCGCAACCCUUGUCAUUAGUUGCUACGAAAGGGCACUCUAAUGAGACUGCCGGUGACAAACCGGAGGAAGGUGGGGAUGACGUCAGGUCAUCAUGGCCCUUAUGGGUAGGGCUACACACGUCAUACAAUGGCCGGGACAGAGGGCUGCCAACCCGCGAGGGGGAGCUAAUCCCAGAAACCCGGUCGUAGUCCGGAUCGUAGUCUGCAACUCGACUGCGUGAAGUCGGAAUCGC
This 767-nucleotide ribosomal RNA is filed under the name uncultured bacterium. RNAcentral's name for it is "bacterial SSU rRNA". It matches the Rfam family "Bacterial small subunit ribosomal RNA", at positions 562 to 1335 of the family's 1533-position model. The record is from RNAcentral.